This 532-nucleotide ribosomal RNA is filed under the name Fusarium sp. FL-2010d. Its description in RNAcentral is "eukaryotic LSU rRNA". The stretch from base 157 to 310 matches the Rfam family "5.8S ribosomal RNA". The record is from RNAcentral. Lineage: Eukaryota; Fungi; Ascomycota; Sordariomycetes; Hypocreales; Nectriaceae.
CAUUACCGAGUUUACAACUCCCAAACCCCUGUGAACAUACCUUAAUGUUGCCUCGGCGGAUCAGCCCGCGCCCCGUAAAACGGGACGGCCCGCCAGAGGACCCAAACUCUAAUGUUUCUUAUUGUAACUUCUGAGUAAAACAAACAAAUAAAUCAAAACUUUCAACAACGGAUCUCUUGGUUCUGGCAUCGAUGAAGAACGCAGCAAAAUGCGAUAAGUAAUGUGAAUUGCAGAAUUCAGUGAAUCAUCGAAUCUUUGAACGCACAUUGCGCCCGCUGGUAUUCCGGCGGGCAUGCCUGUUCGAGCGUCAUUUCAACCCUCAAGCCCCCGGGUUUGGUGUUGGGGAUCGGCUCUGCCCUUCUGGGCGGUGCCGCCCCCGAAAUACAUUGGCGGUCUCGCUGCAGCCUCCAUUGCGUAGUAGCUAACACCUCGCAACUGGAACGCGGCGCGGCCAUGCCGUAAAACCCCAACUUCUGAAUGUUGACCUCGGAUCAGGUAGGAAUACCCGCUGAACUUAAGCAUAUCAAUAAGC